UCUCACAGGCUGUUUGUCCUGUUUUUCAGCUCUACAGUUUCACAACUCAUCAGCAGCCUUCUGUUAAAGGAUGCAAUAAACCCCUCAGUCUCUCCAGGUCUCACUGGGCAUGAGACACGGAACACAUCUGGUUUGGGAUGUCGGUUUACCAGGAGGAGCUGAGAUCCACCGAUCCACAACAAAUGACUAAAAAUGAGUGAGUAAUCCACCAUCCGGUGUGCUUUCAGGAGUCGAAGGGAAUCUGGAAAAUCCAAAAAUGAUAAAAAGGAGACGUCUCAGAAACCUCAGGAUGAGGAAGAGGAGUUAAUGAUGCAGACAAAAACAUGCAGAAAUGAAUCCUGGAUAACGCUCGGAGGUGGAGAUCAGAGCAGCGCAGAUCAUUCACAUAUCUGUUCCUCAAAUCCCUUCUUUUAGAUCAAAUCCCAACAUCGAAAAAUGUCAUUUAAUGUUUUUGCACCGAAAUUUUUAAUAAAAUGAUUUCCGAUGA
Molecule: long non-coding RNA, 487 nt
Organism: Silurus meridionalis
Lineage: Eukaryota; Metazoa; Chordata; Actinopteri; Siluriformes; Siluridae
Exons: 3
Source: RefSeq, a predicted model, not a curated record